GUAGUUAGCCGGGGCUUCCUCCUUGGCUACCGUCACUUUCUUCGUCACCAAGGACAGAGGUUUACAAUCCGAAGACCUUCUUCCCUCACGCGGCGUUGCUGGGUCAGGCUUUCGCCCAUUGCCCAAUAUUCCCCACUGCUGCCUCCCGUAGGAGUCUGGACCGUGUCUCAGUUCCAGUGUGGCCGAUCAGCCUCUCAGCUCGGCUACCCAUCGUUGGCUAGGUGGGCCGUUACCCCGCCUACUACCCAAUGGGACGCGAACCCCUCCUUCUGCGGAUUGCUCCUUUGACCCCUGAGCCAUGCGACUCUGUGGUCUUAUGCGGUAUUAGCACUUGUUUCCAGGUGUUAUCCCCCUCAGAAGGGCAGGUUGUUCACGCGUUACUCACCCGUUCGCCACUAACAAUAAAUCCGAAAAUCUAUUGUCCGUUCGACUUGCAUGUGUUAGGCACGCCGCCAGCGUUCGUCCUGAGCCAUANAUAACUAACUACUACGUACGUAGACGGCGGCGGUCGGACGAACGGCGACUAGUAG
RNAcentral lists this ribosomal RNA (530 nucleotides) under uncultured bacterium. RNAcentral describes it as "partial 16S ribosomal RNA". The record is from RNAcentral.